UUUUCCUUACUUUUCUCACUAUUGUUUACUAUUGUUCAUUCUUAUCCCCAUCUCUAUUUCCGCGUGACACUCAUUCUCUUUUCCAGCUUUCAUAUGUUAGUGUAAUGUUGUCUUAACCUAAUCCCUAGCACUGGGUAAGUAUUUUUAUGGCAUAUUUUCCUACACACUAAAUACAAAUAAUACAAAAAUAACGAAUAAACGACGCUAACGGUAACACUACCCUACACUCCCCCUAGAAAAUAAACCAGAAUGGUUUAUUUUUAUUUAAACGGUUAGCUCUUCUAAAUAACCCAGGUUUGAGUUAGCAUCUUUAUAUGCAGAUCUCGACUCUUGUGAAAAAGGCAUUUCUGACACGUAUUUUACCAAAUAGAUGAUUCAUUCAACUAGCUGAAUAUAUCAGUAUUUUACGCGUUUACCCUAUCAUUUCUCUCUUGGAGUUUUCAAAUCUGCUAUCUUGCAGAUGAGAACUCAUCUCUUCUUUAGCACUCACUGAUAAAGUCUCUCUAGCCUCACAAUAGGAAUUUAUCUCCUAAAUUCCAUUGUAGCGAAAGUGGUGUUAUCAUCGUGAACAAGUCGUGGCUGAUUAAAUAAUUAAUGAAAAGGGAAUACCGUACACUGUCGCAUCCUAUAAAAGUGCUUAGAUUAACCGGUUUUGAAAAACAUCUAAUGGAAUGUCUAUCUUAUCAUUUGGCGGUUUUAUUCAACCCUGAUCAGCUCAAGACUAGACAAGAAGCUACUUUUCUAGGAAACAAGAGACGCACAGGACAAAAAUAUAAUCUGACUUUAACCAUUCACAAACACCGCGGACUCCAAUCGACUCAAUCUCUAACAUGCGAAAAAUACUAUUAUCAAGGAUCGUCGACACCUGGUUUCAGAUCGGCUGCUGAAAAUACACCUAAAUUUUUCCCGUUGUCAUCGACGAGCUCGUAAGAAUUAGUGCCUCUUCUAGAAACCACUGUGCAUGGAACAUACGCUGGACCUAAUUUGGCAUUAUAGGCGUUUCCUGCGGAAGAUAAUGCAAAAUUUCUACGGAACACAUUCUGACCAACAUGGCUUUCGCAAGAUUUCGACGAACAAUUUCGAAAAUGGAUUGGUCAAUAUUCUGUUUACGGUUUACUCGGUCUGAAGGCGAUAUUUCAUCUCUAUCCACCUCCCGAAGAUGCUCGUCUCCAUUCGAAACUAUUUCAUGCCCGAAUAGUACCC
This is a long non-coding RNA of Toxorhynchites rutilus septentrionalis, 1203 nucleotides long. RefSeq lists it as uncharacterized. The transcript has 3 exons. Lineage: Eukaryota; Metazoa; Arthropoda; Insecta; Diptera; Culicidae. The record is from RefSeq and is a predicted model, not a curated record.